CAAAUCAUAACUUCAAGGAGGUGCUAUUAUUUACAUUAAUAGAUUAGUUGUGCGAAUCGACUUGAUUUGA
Molecule: transfer RNA, 70 nt
Filed under: Dipetalogaster maximus
Lineage: Eukaryota; Metazoa; Arthropoda; Insecta; Hemiptera; Reduviidae
Description: tRNA-Val
Source: RNAcentral